Lontra canadensis (Northern American river otter) is the source of this 408-nucleotide long non-coding RNA. RefSeq lists it as uncharacterized. Lineage: Eukaryota; Metazoa; Chordata; Mammalia; Carnivora; Mustelidae. The record is from RefSeq and is a predicted model, not a curated record. The transcript has 3 exons.
UAGCCAGCACUUUUGUUUAUUUUAUUAUUAAUACUGUUGUCACUAUUUUUGGCUAUUUACUUGGUAUAUUUGAAUUAUGGUGAAGGGGCAUGGACUCUCCAGCUCCCCAUGAUCCACCCGCUCUGUGUUUUCUCAGACUGAGGGCUUCACGCAGGAGGAAAUGCACCGAUGUGCGCGAGCUGCGUUGAAACGCAUCAAAAAUAAGAUUGAGUGAUGAAGGGGUGAAGAAAUAGAUGGCCAAUGUCAUCCAUAAAGUGGCAGUGAACCAUUCAUUAUAGAAUCUAGGUGGAAAACAGUGACAUUGUGAAUGAAAGCCCAGGAUGGCAAGAGCAGAUUCUUGAAAAUGAAGAAGCCAUUGCUCUUAGCAGGAAGGACAAAACCAUUCAACAUGUGGAAGUGUUUUGUUAC